This 301-nucleotide ribosomal RNA is filed under the name uncultured bacterium. Its description in RNAcentral is "partial 16S ribosomal RNA". It matches the Rfam family "Bacterial small subunit ribosomal RNA", at positions 509 to 807 of the family's 1533-position model. The record is from RNAcentral.
CAGUAGCCGCGGUAAUACGUAGGUGGCAAGCGUUGUCCGGAAUUAUUGGGCGUAAAGGGCUCGCAGGCGGUUUCUUAAGUCUGAUGUGAAAGCCCCCGGCUCAACCGGGGAGGGUCAUUGGAAACUGGGAUACUUGAGUGCAGAAGAGGAGAGUGGAAUUCCACGUGUAGCGGUGAAAUGCGUAGAGAUGUGGAGGAACACCAGUGGCGAAGGCGACUCUCUGGUCUGUAACUGACGCUGAGGAGCGAAAGCGUUGGGAGCGAACAGGAUUAGAGACCCGCGUAGUCCCUGUCUCUUAUAC